Nomascus leucogenys (northern white-cheeked gibbon) is the source of this 54-nucleotide microRNA precursor. It matches the Rfam family "mir-1302 microRNA precursor family". The record is from Rfam. Lineage: Eukaryota; Metazoa; Chordata; Mammalia; Primates; Hylobatidae.
UUUUUAGUAUAACUAUGUCCCAUGCAAUAUUUGGAAUAUACUUAUACCGUAAAA